Transfer RNA from Camelus ferus (Wild Bactrian camel), 72 nucleotides. It matches the Rfam family "tRNA". Rfam says of the family: Transfer RNA (tRNA) molecules are approximately 80 nucleotides in length. Their secondary structure includes four short double-helical elements and three loops (D, anti-codon, and T loops). The record is from Rfam. Lineage: Eukaryota; Metazoa; Chordata; Mammalia; Artiodactyla; Camelidae.
GAGGGUAUAUCUCAGUGGUAGAGUGUGUGCCUAGCAUCCAUGCAGUCCUGGGUUCAAUCCCCAGUACCUCCA